This 234-nucleotide ribosomal RNA is filed under the name uncultured bacterium. RNAcentral's name for it is "partial 16S ribosomal RNA". It matches the Rfam family "Bacterial small subunit ribosomal RNA", at positions 118 to 351 of the family's 1533-position model. The record is from RNAcentral.
UGAGCAAUCUGCCCUUCUCUUCGGAAUAAGCGUUGGAAACGACGUCUAAUGCCGAAUACGACCUCCUUUCGCAUGAUCGGAGGUGGAAAGCUCCGGCGGAGAAGGAUGAGCUCGCGGCCUAUCAGCUAGUUGGUGUGGGUAAUGGCCCACCAAGGCGACGACGGGUAGCCGGCCUGAGAGGGUGACCCGGCCACACUGGGACUGAGACACGGCCCAGACUCCUACGGGAGGNAG